CUGGGUCUAGGAAUCAGAAGCACUUUGGCGUUGCUGAUUAAAUCAGAUUAAAAUCAGUUUCUGGCAACAUGAGAGAUCUGGCCCCAGCUGGAAGAAUAAAUGGAAUUCUACGGGCAGCAAUGCACUGAAUGACGGAGUGCAAUAUAUCCCUUCCCUCUGUACAUUUGCAUGACGUUUGACCUCAGUUGAACAGCUCCGGGUAAACAAGUCAUCGCAAACGUCCCCCCUCAGAUCUAAACAGCUUGCGUCCCAUCAGUACGUGUGUUUUGCCAGGACAGAUGACAGGAAAUCAGUCUCGGCUCAUGUUUGUAAUAAGUCCAGCCGCACAUGUGGAUUUCAAGAGGCCCAUGACGGAAGAUCGAGCUCUAGUUUUUUUGGGUCAGAGGAGUACCAAAGGAUUUUAUUAACAUGCUACCCCAUAAUAACAUAACUCACUGGCUAUUACAUUACAUUUAAAGCUUCAUGUUUGUCAAUACUGUCUCAUUACAACCAUAAAACUAAUAAAAAAAUAAAUGUAAAAAAAAGUAGACGGACUGUUUCUGUAUUUGUGUUUUGAAAUGUCUUUAUUAUUUUAAUAAUUGAUUAUUAAUAUUAAUUGCUAAAAGCCACCAUACAGACAUAUAAUACAAUAUUUUUCUUGAACAUUUUUGCUAAUUUGUAUAUUAUUAUUAUUAUUAUUAUUAUUAUUAAUCUGUAUGUUAAUAACGCUAGUAAAGCCAUGCUUUUGACAUAGCCUAUAUUUAUGAUGUAAUUUCUAUCAAAUAAACAUUUUACGCAGAAACACAAGCAAAUGCCAGGCACAUUCCCACAUGUAAAUUAAGAUCUGAAUUUUAUGUGGGCAGUUGCCCUUACUGAUUUUAGGCUCUGUAUAAUGCCUUGCAUAUGGAGCAGGCACAAGGUGGCAGUGUUGUUUGAUUUAGUCCUCACUGAAUGACAGUGUUGGAUGAUUGAACACGUGUGCAUGAGAGAGAGAGAGAGAGAGUGAGAGAGAGAGAGAGAGAGAGAGAGAGAUGUUGUUGAUCCUGAUUCCGUAACAAAUAUUAAGAUAUGUCUAGAGUGUUUAAUCAGUUGUUUACUACGUAACAUAAGCCGUUUAUGCAUUAUGUGAGUAGGUGAGCAUGUGUAAAUGAAUGUCUACGACACCCGUUUGUCAUCAGACGCACACAACCAGAAUACAUCAGUUUGGAUACAAGUUAACGAGGCUAUAGUUACAUUAUAACCAUGUCUCUCAAAAUAUAACUCACUCAUGAAUAUCUCACUCAUACAUAAUUCACAUUUCCCAGUAUAAUUAAUCACAUAAAAUACAAUCUAGUAAGAAAAUAAGGCAAGAAUAGCUACUCACAGCCCGAUAAAUGUCACAUAAUAUGGGUUGAAUAUAGAUUUUUUUUGUAAAAGGCCUGACAUUCGCGAGUGUUUUCUAUCGUAGUUGCACAUUAUUAUAAAGCUAUACUAUUAGGUCCUUUAUAUAAAAAAUGCAAAUAUUAGGCUACAGCAAGCUCCGUAUCAAAUAACCACAAUCAAACACAUAUAAAGCGUGUAUUUAACUAUUUGAAAGUAAACUCAUUAACCCCAAACAACACCCGCUUGGACAGCUUAGGCUACUUGAACUAUAUUCAUUUUCAUCGAGACAAUUAAUAAUCAACAAUAGUACCAUAAAGCAACAACACAAGUCACUUGUCAACGAGGCUGUGCGUUCACAAUCCAUAACGAAUUAAGGGAAACGACACAAUGAAUGUACAUUUACAUAUGUUGCAUGCCCCUCUUGAACAUCCCGUUUGAAUCGAAUACAGUACUGUCAAAUCUCCAUAUUGUGUAGCAACACGUCUGUAAGAAGCCAAUAAGCAGCGUAGAAUCAUUUACUUACCAGCGUUCGCUGUUGUCUGUGUGACGCACGUUCGAUGGU
Molecule: long non-coding RNA, 1903 nt
Organism: Megalobrama amblycephala (Wuchang bream)
Lineage: Eukaryota; Metazoa; Chordata; Actinopteri; Cypriniformes; Xenocyprididae
Exons: 4
Source: RefSeq, a predicted model, not a curated record